AGCUUUGCGCAGUGGCAGUAUCGUAGCCAAUGAGGUUUAUCCGAGGUGCAAUUAUUGCUAAUUGAAAAAAAGAUUUUAAUUUUAAC
This 86-nucleotide small nuclear RNA is filed under the name Ictidomys tridecemlineatus (thirteen-lined ground squirrel). RNAcentral describes it as "U4 spliceosomal RNA (ENSSTOG00000018565.1)". It matches the Rfam family "U4 spliceosomal RNA". From Rfam's summary of the family: U4 small nuclear RNA (U4 snRNA) is a component of the major U2-dependent spliceosome. The structure of U4 snRNA from yeast and human has been reported. Lineage: Eukaryota; Metazoa; Chordata; Mammalia; Rodentia; Sciuridae. The record is from RNAcentral.